This is a long non-coding RNA of Fundulus heteroclitus (mummichog), 515 nucleotides long. RefSeq lists it as uncharacterized. The transcript is spliced from 3 exons. Lineage: Eukaryota; Metazoa; Chordata; Actinopteri; Cyprinodontiformes; Fundulidae. The record is from RefSeq and is a predicted model, not a curated record.
ACUGCUGGUCCUGGUUCGGGCCUGGUCUGUCUCUCUCUCUUCUCUGCAGGGUGUGACGGGCAGGUGUUUCGCGUCCCAGCUAAUUAGGUGCCUUCUUAAGGAGCUGAGACCAGGAGCAGGGCGUCAGUUCUUUCUCGCUACCAGCGUGAAUCACCCAAGCAACCGAACCUUCAAGCCUGGACCUCCGUCGACUUUCGGAUUCCUCAAGCCACCUGUCAGUCACAGCCCCUGCUCCAGGAAUUACCUGCCUGUCCACCCUCCAACGCACCAGCAUCAGAAAGGAGAGAUUCGCAGUACGCAUCAGGAUUCAGGACACCACCCUCCCAAAGCCCGAGACAACCCCAAACCCCAACCCAGGACUAUCCAGCCCAACACCGUUACAGAAUCCUCCUCAAUAAACUUUUUUCAUAAACCUCACAAACUGUCUCCGUGGUUGCCCCGCUUCAGGGUCGUUCUUCUCACAGUAUGACACAGACGAUGCACCAAGGAGAAACAAAAACCCAGAACUUAAAUAC